GACGAACGCUGGCGGCGUGCUUAAUACAUGCAAGUCGAACGGUAAGGCCCUGCUUUUGUGUGGUGCUCGAGUGGCGAAAGGGGGGGUAACAGGUGAGUAACCUGCCCGGGACUUUGGGAAAACUUGAGGAAACAGGGGCGAAUACCGGAUAGGAGCUCCUGCAGCAUGGUGGGGGGCGGAAAGUAAGGGUGGAUGGGGCUGGACGCGGGGGUUAUCAGAUUGUUGGUGGGGGAGUGGCUUACCAAGGCUUGGACGGGUAGCCGGCCUGAGCGGUUGACCGGCCACAUUGGUACUGCGGUACGGCCCAGACUCCUACGGGAGGCAGCAGUGGGGAAUCUUGCACAAUGGGCGGAAGCCUGUUGCAGCAACGCCGCGUGCGGGAUGACGGCCUUCGGGUUGUAAACCGCUUUCGCCUGUGACGAAGCGUGAGUGACGGUAAUGGGUAAAGAAGCACCGGCUAACUACGUG
Molecule: ribosomal RNA, 468 nt
Filed under: uncultured bacterium
Lineage: Bacteria
Description: partial 16S ribosomal RNA
Rfam family: Bacterial small subunit ribosomal RNA
Source: RNAcentral